UACGGAAGGCAGCAGUGGGGAAUAUUGCACAAUGGGCGCAAGCCUGAUGCAGCCAUGCCGCGUGUAUGAAGAAGGCCUUCGGGUUGUAAAGUACUUUCAGCGGGGAGGAAGGCGAUGCGGUUAAUAACCGCGUCGAUUGACGUUACCCGCAGAAGAAGCACCGGCUAACUCCGUGCCAGCAGCCGCGGUAAUACGGAGGGUGCAAGCGUUAAUCGGAAUUACUGGGCGUAAAGCGCACGCAGGCGGUCUGUUAAGUCAGAUGUGAAAUCCCCGGGCUUAACCUGGGAACUGCAUUUUGAACUGGCAGGCUUGAGUCUUGUAGAGGGGGUAGAAUUCCAGGUGUAGCGGUGAAAUGCGUAGAGAUCUGGAGGAAUCCGGUGGCGAAGGCGGCCCCUGGGACAAAGCUGACGCUCAGGUGCGAAAGCGUGGGGAGCAAACAGGAUUAGAUACC
RNAcentral lists this ribosomal RNA (451 nucleotides) under uncultured bacterium. RNAcentral's name for it is "bacterial SSU rRNA". It matches the Rfam family "Bacterial small subunit ribosomal RNA", at positions 340 to 786 of the family's 1533-position model. The record is from RNAcentral.